RNAcentral lists this unclassified non-coding RNA (311 nucleotides) under Hevea brasiliensis (rubber tree). The record is from RNAcentral. Lineage: Eukaryota; Viridiplantae; Streptophyta; Magnoliopsida; Malpighiales; Euphorbiaceae.
GAAGAAGCAAGCCGUGCCGAAUGCAAAACUUGAAUAUUUUGGUCUAUUUUUUCUGUUAUAAUCUUGUGAUCAUUACGCAGCUCAGCUAGCCUACGCCGGUCAGCACGCACAGAGGGAAUAUCAAUAUCAGUUCUUGGGAACCCCUCAGAAUCAACUAGAUUCCCUGAAAGUCCAGGACCACCAGGUUGGCAAAGUCGCUGAAUAACAACAUCCAUCUCAGCUUCAGUAUUAGUUCUUUCAUCCAUUAACUUCAUAGUUUCUGCUUUCAAAUUUGUACCCACCAUCUUUUUUCAAAUCUUCUUAUCUGGGAU